This 497-nucleotide ribosomal RNA is filed under the name uncultured Glomeromycotina. Its description in RNAcentral is "partial small subunit ribosomal RNA". It matches the Rfam family "Eukaryotic small subunit ribosomal RNA", at positions 591 to 1092 of the family's 1831-position model. Lineage: Eukaryota; Fungi; Glomeromycota. The record is from RNAcentral.
CCAAUAGCGUAUAUUAAAGUUGUUGCAGUUAAAAAGCUCGUAGUUGAAUUUUGGAUCUGACCAAGCGGUCCGCCUUUGUUGAGUACUGUUUGUGUCGGGUCUAUCCUUCUGGUGAGCUGGUAUGCCCUUUAUUGGGUGUGUCAGGGAACCAGGACCAUUACCUUGAAAAAAUUAGAGUGUUUAAAGCGGGCAUAAGCUUGAAUAGAUUAGCAUGGAAUAAUAGAAUAGGACGUUGUGGUUCUAUUUUGUUGGUUUCUAGGACCACCGUAAUGAUUAAUAGGGAUAGUUGGGGGCAUUAGUAUUCAAUUGUCAGAGGUGAAAUUCUUGGAUUUAUUGAAGACUAACUACUGCGAAAGCAUUUGCCAAGGAUGUUUUCAUUAAUCAAGAACGAAAGUUAGGGGAUCGAAGACGAUCAGAUACCGUCGUAGUCUUAACCAUAAACUGUGCCGACUAGGAAUCGGGCGACGUUAUUUUAAUGACUCGCUCGGCGCCUUAUG